Molecule: small RNA, 501 nt
Filed under: Malus domestica (apple)
Lineage: Eukaryota; Viridiplantae; Streptophyta; Magnoliopsida; Rosales; Rosaceae
Description: sRNA MD13G0123600
Source: RNAcentral
CCCAUUCCCCCAGUUCUAUUUCUAAUCCAGUUCUAUGAUCGAUCAUUCAUUCUUCAAUUUCCUCUUGUUAAUCAGCAAAAGUUGAUCGAUCAUUCGUUUCAAAUAUUGAUGCCUAAUUGCAUACUUAAAUUUGCUAAUGGGGUGAUCUACAGCUUUCAGAUGCAGGCCACUUUUCGUCGUCGUAUGAUGGAAAAGCACAACAAGGAAGAAAACUGAUAAAACACAGUAUCACCAAAGCAAGCACAAAUGGAUUAUGGAAAUAUGGAAUGUUUGAGUUCUCAGCAUCUCAGUAUUCUCCAUACCCUCCGCUCAAACUCGAAGGUUGCCUGCAGAUUUGCUUGAGACUGAGAAUUUGAGUGGUAGCCAAGAAGAAGGUGGUUUGGUUCAGUGUGAUCCAUGUGCCCGUGAUCAAUUGAGAUUCAGCCAUGCGAAACUUCGAUUCGUAAUUUGAUUCCGAGUGCCGUUGAGGAAAAGAAAAAGAUGGUUUUUUAGUAGUUAAAA